RNAcentral lists this ribosomal RNA (495 nucleotides) under uncultured Acidobacteriota bacterium. RNAcentral describes it as "bacterial SSU rRNA". It matches the Rfam family "Bacterial small subunit ribosomal RNA", at positions 355 to 868 of the family's 1533-position model. Lineage: Bacteria; Pseudomonadati; Acidobacteriota. The record is from RNAcentral.
UGGGGAAUCUUGCACAAUGGGGGCAACCCUGAUGCAGCGACGCCGCGUGAGUGAUGAAGCCCUUCGGGGUGUAAAGCUCUUUCGGCAGGAACGAUAAUGACGGUACCUGAAGAAGAAGCUGCGGCUAACUACGUGCCAGCAGCCGCGGUAAUACGUAGGCAGCGAGCGUUGUUCGGAAUUACUGGGCGUAAAGAGUGUGUAGGCGGUUUUCCAAGUUUGGUGUGAAAUCUCCCGGCUUAACUGGGAGGGUGCGCCGAAAACUGGGAGGCUUGAGUAUGGGAGAGGGAAGCGGAAUUCCUGGUGUAGCGGUGAAAUGCGUAGAUAUCAGGAGGAACACCUGUGGUGUAGGCGGCUUCCUGGACCAUUACUGACGCUGAGACACGAAAGCGUGGGGAGCAAACAGGAUUAGAUACCCUGGUAGUCCACGCCCUAAACGAUGCAUACUUGGUGUGAGCCAUUCAGUUGGUUCGUGCCGGAGCUAACGCGUUAAGUAUC